Molecule: ribosomal RNA, 101 nt
Filed under: Prolemur simus (greater bamboo lemur)
Lineage: Eukaryota; Metazoa; Chordata; Mammalia; Primates; Lemuridae
Source: RNAcentral
GUCUACAGCCAUACCACCCUGAACGUGCCCAAUCUUGGAAGCUAAGCAGGGUUGGGCCUGGUUAGUACUUGGAUGGGAGUCAAAGUAUUACAGGAGUAACA